AGUCGAACGGAGAAAGAGAGGUUCGCCUUUCUUUCUUAGUGGCGCACGGGUGAGUAAUGUAUAGCUAACCUGCCCCUUGGUGGGGGACAACAGAUGGAAACGUCUGCUAAUACCCCAUACUCCUUCUUACUCUAAGGUAAGUCGGGAAAACUCCGGUGCCAAGGGAUGGGGCUGUAUCCUAUCAGCUUGUUGGUGAGGUAAUGGCUCACCAAGGCAAUGACGGGUAGCUGGUCUGAGAGGAUGAUCAGCCACACUGGAACUGAGACACGGUCCAGACUCCUACGGGAGGCAGCAGUGGGGAAUAUUGCACAAUGGGGGAAACCCUGAUGCAGCAACGCCGCGUGGAGGAUGACGCAUUUCGGUGUGUAAACUCCUUUUAUAGGGGAAGAUAAUGACGGUACCCUAUGAAUAAGCACCGGCUAACUCCGUGCCA
Molecule: ribosomal RNA, 433 nt
Filed under: uncultured bacterium
Lineage: Bacteria
Description: bacterial SSU rRNA
Rfam family: Bacterial small subunit ribosomal RNA
Source: RNAcentral